GACGAACGCUGGCGGCGUGCUUAAUACAUGCAAGUCGAACGAUGAACCCGGAGCUUGCUCUGGGGGAUUAGUGGCGAACGGGUGAGUAACACGUGAGUAAGCUGCCCUGGACUCUGGGAUAAGCGUUGGAAACGACGUCUAAUACCGGAUAGGACCUUGGAUCGCAUGAUCUGGGGUGGAAAGUUUUUUCGGUCUGGGAUGGACUCGCGGCCUAUCAGCUUGUUGGUGAGGUAAUGGCUCACCAAGGCGUCGACGGGUAGCCGGCCUGAGAGGGUGACCGGCCACACUGGGACUGAGACACGGCCCAGACUCCUACGGGAGGCAGCAGUGGGGAAUAUUGCACAAUGGGCGAAAGCCUGAUGCAGCAACGCCGCGUGCGGGAUGACGGCCUUCGGGUUGUAAACCGCUUUUAGUAGGGAAGAAGGGCUUCGGCUUGACGGUACCUGCAGAAAAAGGACCGGCUAACUACGUG
RNAcentral lists this ribosomal RNA (472 nucleotides) under uncultured bacterium. RNAcentral describes it as "partial 16S ribosomal RNA". It matches the Rfam family "Bacterial small subunit ribosomal RNA", at positions 28 to 507 of the family's 1533-position model. The record is from RNAcentral.